This 467-nucleotide ribosomal RNA is filed under the name uncultured bacterium. RNAcentral's name for it is "partial 16S ribosomal RNA". It matches the Rfam family "Bacterial small subunit ribosomal RNA", at positions 28 to 507 of the family's 1533-position model. The record is from RNAcentral.
GACGAACGCUGGCGGCGUGCUUAACACAUGCAAGUCGAACGAUGACGACCGAGCUUGCUCGGUCUGAUUAGUGGCGAACGGGUGAGUAACACGUGAGCAACCUGCCCUUCACUCUGGGAUAACCUCGGGAAAUCGGGGCUAAUACCGGAUAUGAGCUCCUGUCGCAUGGCGGGUGUUGGAAAGUUUUUCGGUGAAGGAUGGGCUCGCGGCCUAUCAGUUUGUUGGUGAGGUAGUGGCUCACCAAGGCGAUGACGGGUAGCCGGCCUGAGAGGGCGACCGGCCACACUGGGACUGAGACACGGCCAAGACUCCUACGGGAGGCAGCAGUGGGGAAUAUUGCACAAUGGGCGAAAGCCUGAUGCAGCGACGCCGCGUGAGGGAUGACGGCCUUCGGGUUGUAAACCUCUUUCAGCAGGGAAGAAGCGAAAGUGACGGUACCUGCAGAAGAAGCGCCGGCUAACUACGUG